This 2439-nucleotide unclassified non-coding RNA is filed under the name Hevea brasiliensis (rubber tree). Lineage: Eukaryota; Viridiplantae; Streptophyta; Magnoliopsida; Malpighiales; Euphorbiaceae. The record is from RNAcentral.
UCUAUAAAAAGAAUUCAAGAAAAAAUUUUAAUAAGAAUGAAGUUAAUUAGAAAAAAAAUUCUAAUAAUUUCAACAAUUAUCAAAUAUAGAGAUUAAGUCAUUCAAUUUUCAAAGAGGCCAAGUUGUAAUAUCAAUCAAAAUUCAGGGAUUAAAUAGUAAAUUUUUUUAAUUGAAUAAAGGGUAUAUUUAUCUUUUUACUUAAAUUAACGAUAAUAUUGGACUAAAGAAUAUCUGACUUUGACGGAAGUAUAAGUGAGAGACUAAAUUGUUCAAUUUUAAAAAUACAUGAACAAAUCAAAAUAUUAGUCAAAAUCUAAAGAUCAAAUAGUAAAUUACCCUAAUGAUUAAUGCUAUCUUUAAAUUAAAAUUUUAACUUUUUUUUCCCUUACCCAACUCAUUCAUGAACUAUCUCAUUUAAAUUAGAACUCUACUUGAAUUGUUGAUGUUAUAGUGGAUUUGAAUGGAACCUAUUUUCAAAGUGGAAAUACUUUCAGUCCCAUCUUUAGCCUUUUAUAAAUGUGUAAUAUAUACUUUCCCUCUAAACUUUUGCUUGAUUGAUAUGCACAGAACUUAUUCUUCCAAAUCUAACCCAUAAAUCAAAUUGUACUAUGUUACAUUUACUACACUCAUAUAUACCUUUGCCCUAAUAUAGUCACAAACUAGCAUUCAUGGUAAGAGCUGGAAUGGUAAAACCAAAAAUUCUAAUUAGGUAACGAUCAUCUCUUGAUUUUAUGAUAUAGUUUCUAAUCGGUUUUAUUUAAAUUCUUUUGAGUUGGCUGCUAGAUCAUGCAGGGAAGCUCGACACGUCCAUAACCAUUUCGCUAAUCUUUCAACAACAAGACGACAUUAUUAUCAUUAUCAUCAUCAUCAUAAUCAUCAUUAUCACCAUCAUCGUCUAAGUAAAGUAAGGCAUUGAUUUCUUCAGUGUCUUCAUGCAUCUCACUUUCUUCACCACUUAAGUGAUUCUCAUCUGAUACCUCCUGCAACUUCAGCACUGUUUGAUUGAUUUGGUCCAUUUUAGCUGCAUGUUCUUCAUCUUGCAAAUAAGAAUCACCAAUGCAUUUCCUAGCCACUAUAGUUGGUUUCACAUCAGUAGGGAAAAACGAACUAUAUAUUAACCUUGUUUCAUUUCCAGACUGGUCAAAAAUAACAAAUCUCCGCCGGCAUCCAGGGAUUUGAUUAGGUACAACCUCCCCAGCACACCCAUAAGGAAAAACAGAUAAGUUUUCUUUGAGAUAUGGUUUCACAGCUGGAAGCAAAUUCUGGAAGACAGGGGGCAAACUUUGAGGCAAGCCUUGGGCUCCAUUGCUUUGCUGUGUCUUCAAACCUGGGAUGCAUGGGACUGCAAUCCCUGGCAUCAUCAUGUUUGCAGAAAAUGUGUACGAGCCAGGGUUCACACAUGCUGGCAAACAUCCUGGUUCCACCGGAUCUACUGAUGUGCUCAUGCAGUUGAAAUUUGGUGAUUGCCAAGAACAAUGUGGUGGGAACAGGUUGGCUUUAACCAUAUAACCAAAAGAAUUACCUGGCAAUCUUGCAAUUGUUGAUAACAUGCAAUAACUCUAACCAUAAUUAUCGGUUUUCCAGCAAUUCCAUUCUCAUGCUUUAACGCCCGAAAUCUUGUUUGGCUUGCUGCUUGGCACACCAUAACUUCUUUUGACCACUCAAAACUAUAUUUAUCCAGAUGUAAGUAACAACACAAGACAAUUACCCAAUAAAAUAGAAACUAAGAGAAUGGCAAGCUUGAAUAAAGCUGAAAUAUGGAUAGGAAUUUUACUGAAACAAAAUGAGGAUGAAACAGAAACCUUGAAUUAGAACUUAGGAUCAAACAAAGAGAGUAACAAAGGGAGCUUCACCUUGAACUAAAGUUAUUUAUAGUUAUCUGAGAAUACUGUAAAAAUCAACAACAAAAGACAAAAGCAACUGGAUCUCAUGAACAUUCAGGAGAAGAAUGACAAGGCAAGUGUCUAAAUAUUGAGGUUCAGUAUUCAGUGGGAGCAAUAAUUUACAGAAUAACCCUGCAAUACAAAUUCAAUCGCACAACAUUGCGAAACACAUCAACUGAUUUACUCAACCAAGGCAUGUUGUUCUGUCUAUCCACAGAUAACUAGGUAUAUACUCAAAUUUCCUGCAAAGAAGUGUGUACCAGCAAAAUGGUGAGAAGCAUAAUCAGAUAGAAACUGUAAAAGCACAAAAAACCAUAGAAAGGAAAUUUCUCAACUAAAGCAUGAACAUUCAUUUGGGAGCUUAGAAAGUUAAGUAAAACAAUGAAUGGUCUCUAUAGCUGGUAACAGAACAUAUUCAACAUCAUUUGCUUUUCAAUGUUCAGGAUGCCCAGUAAUUAAAAUCCUAACAAAUGAUAUCUACCGUACGUUUCAUUUUAAAAAUCAGAAAGUGAAAAUGAUGAAAAAGAAAUACAAAGUUUCCUUUUUCUUCUUAUCU